RNAcentral lists this ribosomal RNA (468 nucleotides) under uncultured bacterium. Its description in RNAcentral is "bacterial SSU rRNA". It matches the Rfam family "Bacterial small subunit ribosomal RNA", at positions 28 to 507 of the family's 1533-position model. The record is from RNAcentral.
GAUGAACGCUGGCGGCGUGCUUAACACAUGCAAGUCGAACGAAGACAUCUGAGUGCUUGCACUUGGAUGGACUGAGUGGCGGACGGGUGAGUAACGCGUGGGUAACCUGCCUUAUACAGGGGGAUAACAGUUGGAAACGACUGCUAAUACCGCAUAAGCGCACGGUAUCGCAUGAUACAGUGUGAAAAACUCCGGUGGUAUAAGAUGGACCCGCGUCUGAUUAGCUUGUUGGUGAGGUAACGGCCCACCAAGGCGACGAUCAGUAGCCGGCCUGAGAGGGUGAACGGCCACAUUGGGACUGAGACACGGCCCAAAACUCCUACGGGAGGCAGCAGUGGGGAAUAUUGCACAAUGGGGAAACCCUGAUGCAGCGACGCCGCGUGAGUGAAGAAGUAUUUCGGUAUGUAAAGCUCUAUCAGCAGGGAAGAAAGUGACGUACCUGAAUAAGAAGCCCCGGCUAACUACGUG